AGAGUGAACGCUGGCGGUAGGCCUAACACAUGCAAGUCGAACGGCAGCACGGUAAGAGCUUGCUCUUAUGGGUGGCGAGUGGCGGACGGGUGAGGAAUACAUCGGAAUCUACCUUUUGGUGGGGGAUAACGUAGGGAAACUUACGCUAAUACCGCAUACGCCCUUCGGGGGAAACGCCGGGGACCAGCAAUGGCCUGGCGCUGAUAGAUGAGCCGAUGUCGGAUUAGCUAGUUGGUGAGG
This 240-nucleotide ribosomal RNA is filed under the name uncultured soil bacterium. Its description in RNAcentral is "partial 16S ribosomal RNA". It matches the Rfam family "Bacterial small subunit ribosomal RNA", at positions 26 to 257 of the family's 1533-position model. The record is from RNAcentral.